RNAcentral lists this ribosomal RNA (482 nucleotides) under uncultured bacterium. RNAcentral's name for it is "partial 16S ribosomal RNA". It matches the Rfam family "Bacterial small subunit ribosomal RNA", at positions 30 to 507 of the family's 1533-position model. The record is from RNAcentral.
AUUGAACGCUGGCGGCAUGCCUUACACAUGCAAGUCGAACGGUAACGGGCCUUCGGGUGCCGACGAGUGGCGAACGGGUGAGUAAUACAUCGGAACGUGCCCGAUCGUGGGGGAUAACGAGGCGAAAGCUUUGCUAAUACCGCAUACGAUCUACGGAUGAAAGCAGGGGACCGCAAGGCCUUGCGCGGACGGAGCGGCCGAUGGCAGAUUAGGUAGUUGGUGGGAUAAAAGCUUACCAAGCCGACGAUCUGUAGCUGGUCUGAGAGGAUGAUCAGCCACACUGGGACUGAGACACGGCCCAGACUCCUACGGGAGGCAGCAGUGGGGAAUUUUGGACAAAGGGCGCAAGCCUGAUCCAGCCAUGCCGCGUGCAGGAUGAAGGCCUUCGGGUUGUAAACUACUUUUGUACGGAACGAAAAGCCUUCUUUUAAUACAGGAGGGUCAUGACGGUACCGUAAGAAUAAGCACCGGCUAACUACGUG